RNAcentral lists this ribosomal RNA (446 nucleotides) under uncultured bacterium. RNAcentral describes it as "SSU rRNA". It matches the Rfam family "Bacterial small subunit ribosomal RNA", at positions 26 to 518 of the family's 1533-position model. The record is from RNAcentral.
AGAACGAACGCUGGCGGCAGGCCUCAAACAUGCAAGUCUAGGGGGUGUAGCAAUACAUCACCGGCGGACGGGUGCGUAACGCGUGGGAAUGUACCUAUUGGUUCGGAACAACUGAGGGAAACUUCAGCUAAUACCGGAUGAGCCCGAAAGGGGAAAGAUUUCUCGCCAAUAGAUCAGCCCGCGUCCGAUUAGCUAGUUGGUGGGGUUAAAGCCUACCAAGGCGACGAUCGGUAGCUGUUCUGAGAGGAAGAUCAGCCACACUGGGACUGAGACACGGCCCAGACUCCUACGGGAGGCAGCAGUUGGGAAUCUUGGACAAUGGGGGAAACCCUGAUCCAGCCAUGCCGCGUGAGUGAUGAAGGCCUUCGGGUUGUAAAACUCUUUCGACGGGACGAUAAUGACGGUACCCGUAGAGAAGCUCCGGCUAACUUCGUGCCAGCAGCCGC